This 1707-nucleotide ribosomal RNA is filed under the name Triticum aestivum (bread wheat). RNAcentral's name for it is "partial small subunit ribosomal RNA". The record is from RNAcentral. Lineage: Eukaryota; Viridiplantae; Streptophyta; Magnoliopsida; Poales; Poaceae.
CGCCCGCACUGCGACACACCUCUCUCUCUCUUAUCCUUUUCUCCGUUCCCCACCCUCGCGCAUGGGACAGAGGGAGAGAGCUCUUGCGAAGACGGCCAGGCGGUCGGCGACGAGCCAGUCGGCGAUAAGAUGACCUGCGCCGUACCCAAGUGUGCGAUGCCUGGGAGAGGAGGCGUAGGCGGCGGAGACGAGGAGCGGGAGGAGGCAUGCGGCGAUGCCGUGAUUCGAAUCUUCGACGGUGGCGGACGGAGGCAGUACUCGGCGACGAUGCUGGUGCGCAGCGCCGUGUUGGCGGUGGCGGAGAUAGCCUAGCGCGCGUGGUGGUUGCCGGUCACCGUGGCCGAGGUGCUGGGCGGUGGAGAUUUGUGGGCUCGUCGUCCCCGCCGGCCGUCGCGCCGCCGCCGGUCUAAUAGGCCGCCUCCCGCGUGCCCUCCACUUGAAGCCAUCGAUGCGUCUAGAGGAGCCAUCGAAGCGUGGAGCCAUCAGGCUGCACGAGGAGGCAUCAGGCUGCCCGUUGUUGCGUCUAGAGGAGCAGAGGCACUCCGCGGUUGCCGCACGAGGAGCGUCCGCGGUGGCCGAGCAUGGAGGAGCAUCGGUGCGUCAACAUCGUCUUCGCCGUUUCCUGCUCCGUCGCCGCGCAUGGAAGAGCACGCGUCAUCAGUCCUUCGUCGGCCGUCAGUGCUUCUCCUCCCUCUCAGUACAGAUCAUUUUUUAGCGUUUGUUUGCUGCUGCUAUGCUUAUGCAUUUUGCUGCUCUAGAAUGCUCAGUUUACUAGAUCGAGCUUACCACUAUAUUCAGCGUGUCUCCUUCAGAUGUACUAAUUUGCACACUUGUGCCAAGUUGCCAUGUUUAUUCAGUGAUUUAAUUUGACAUAUCACCUAAAUUGUUUGCCUUGUCAACUUCUUCUUUUUUGCCAUGGUUAAUUUAGUGAUGCUGCUGCUACUGUAAUCAAACAAUCGAUUGGUCAACAAAUCAUUUUUCUGAUCUGCCAUGAUUUUGUCUUUUCUUUAGGGUACAAUUACAGUUUUUUAGAUAAUUGCCAUGCUUUUUUCUUUUUAUUUUGUUACAUUUACAUUUUUACAUAACUUGUCAUGCUUCUAUGUAGGAAUACAACAGUUUUUCGCAAAUUUGCCAUGUGUGCAGUACAAAUUAUUCAAACUUUUUUGAAAUGAUCAUUGUAAUAUUUUUUUUACGAAACUACGACGUGUUUUUGCCAUGGCAAGUUAACAUGUAUUGUCAUGGUAAAUUUUGGGACCAUCGUCACAUGACAAAUGUAUUUUUUCCCUUCUCUAAAGCAUGGGCACAUGGCAAAUUCUAAAACAUGGCAAUUAUGGAAGUUUAUCAAUCAUGGCAAACUUGCCAUUCUUCAAAAAAAAUGUCACAAUCUUCAUCAAAUGUAUGUUAUUUUUUAUUUUCCUCUAACAUGGCAAAUUUAUUACAUGGACCAUGUUAAAAUGUUUAAUGGAUCAUGGCAAGUCUAGUUCAAGCACCAUGGCAACUUAACUAUAUUAUAGUUUACGAACUACGAUGUGUCUUGCCAUGGCAACUUAAAAUGUAUUGGCAUGGUAGAUUCUUUAGGACCAUCUUCACAUUUGCAAAUGCACUUUUUCUCUUAUUUUAAACAUGGCAAAUUAUGGACGUUUCUCAAUCAUGGCAAACUUGCCAUCCAUCAAUUUCUUUUCUUUUUUGCCACUAUUUUCUUCCAAC